Lathyrus oleraceus (garden pea) is the source of this 1092-nucleotide long non-coding RNA. RefSeq lists it as uncharacterized. The transcript has 2 exons. The record is from RefSeq and is a predicted model, not a curated record. Lineage: Eukaryota; Viridiplantae; Streptophyta; Magnoliopsida; Fabales; Fabaceae.
UUCAGUUACUAGCUCAGAUUUAUUGUUAUAUUUAGCUUCUGAACUUAAUCAAAUGGAGAAAGCAUAUUGUAUAUUGAAUAUUUGGUUGCGCAUUCUUUUGAACUAAUGUGUCCAUCUUAGAGGAUUAACUUGUGAUGUCAGUCGCUAUUUAGUGUUUGGUUCUUAAUCGCAAGGAAGAAUGUCUAAUGGCAAACCACGGGUGUGAUGAUUUAUAUAUGCAUAUAUAAAUCAGAGUAGUCAAUCCCUGAUAGCGGCGCGGAGCCGCUGACCCUAAAAAUAGGAUAGCGUAUAGCAGGAUGACCACUAUUUGAUCAUUUUUUGGAUCAAAGUGCAAAGGGAAGAACUUUUGAUUUUUGUUUUGAAUAGUUGAAGUACAAAAACGUCAGUGAAGGAAGAGGGGAAAGGAUAGCAGAACAGAAACCACUUCGGGCCGAGAACUGCUCUGCCCCUGCUAUCUGCUAAUUACUCUAUAGCGGCCGCUAUUGUGUUCUGCACCGCUAAGGCUUUUCCCGUAGCGGUCAGCCUCUGAUCUGCUCCGCUGUAGCGGGAUAGCGCUGCUAUUGACUACUCUUAUAAACAAAUAAUGGCCACUAUCUUUUGAGCUGAGCUGAUGGAAAAACUCUCACUUAUCAGCAUUUGUCAAUGGGAGGAUAUUUGUUGGUAGAGUUUGAAGAAACAAAGGAAAGUUCUAUUAUUUAGAUCCCAAGCUGCAUGAAUCUGCAUAAACUUAGUUUUUCCAUGUGGUCAUGGCUCUUAAGCACUAAGGUAAUUCUCGCAAAAAGCUUGCAAAAUGUCAGUCAUGUUCAUAAGUUAGGUGCAACAUUAUCAUUUAAUAAGGAUUAAGGAAGCAUGGUGCCACUACCCGAUGCACUAACUCUAUGAUUUCCCACUUCUCUAAACUAAGUCUUAAAGUUAUAGAGGAUGUGAGAAAAUCAAACAUAACUGAUCCAAACACAGUGUCCAAUGUAGGAUUGGUCAACUUGUGAAAGAUCGUAAAACUCGAAUCUUUAGCACGACAUGUAAGAUCCUACCGAAGGGAAAAAGGGUAAUUUCACACACACACACACACACACACACACACACACACACACA